Molecule: ribosomal RNA, 403 nt
Filed under: uncultured bacterium
Lineage: Bacteria
Description: partial 16S ribosomal RNA
Rfam family: Bacterial small subunit ribosomal RNA
Source: RNAcentral
GACGAACGCUGGCGGCGUGCCUAAUACAUGCAAGUCGAACGCAGUGGGGACGGGUGAGUAACACGUGGGUAACCUCCCAUCAGAGGGGAUAACACUUGGAAACAGGUGCUAAACCGAUCUUGAUGGAUGGACCCGGGUGGCAUUAGCUAGUUGGUGAGGUAACGGCUCACCAAGGCCACGAUGCAGAGCGUACCUGCGAGGUUGAGCGGCCACACUGGAACUGAGACACGGCCCAGAAUCCUACGGGAGGCAGCAGUAGGGAAUCUUCGGCAAUGGACGAAAGUAUGACCGAGCCACGCCGCGUGAGUGAAGAAGGUUUUCGGAUCGUAAAAAUCUGUUGUUAGAGAAGCGGUAACUAACCAGAAAGCCACGGCUAAAUACGUGCCAGCAGCCGCGGUAAUAC